CCUAAGUUAUAUUUAAAUAAGCAAAAACCACCCUAUUCUUCUAACACUGUUUGUUUGAUCUGUUACAGUAAUGAAAACAAAACUUAUUCCAUUGUUGAAGCCAUUCUGCUGCACCUCCAACAACACAUUGACAUCACCUAUUAAUUCACAAUAGUCAAAUUAGUGAUUCCAAAUUCUAAUACUACGUUAAUUCCUCCAUUAAGUGACUUAUUAUUCUUGUUCUACAUAUUUUCACCUCCAUCUGUGA
This 247-nucleotide long non-coding RNA is filed under the name Medicago truncatula (barrel medic). Its description in RNAcentral is "long non-coding RNA (MTRU_LNC005784)". Lineage: Eukaryota; Viridiplantae; Streptophyta; Magnoliopsida; Fabales; Fabaceae. The record is from RNAcentral.